GUGUCAGCAGCCGCGGUAAUACAGAGACGUCGAGCGUUGUUCGGAUUCAUUGGGCGUAAAGGGUGCGUAGGCGGUGAGGUAAGUUGGAUGUGAAAUCUCAGGGCCUAACCCUGAAAGUGCAUCCAAAACUGCCUUGCUUGAGGACUGGAGGGGAGACUGGAAUUCUCGGUGUAGCGGUGAAAUGCGUAGAUAUCGAGAGGAACACCAGUGGCGAAGGCGGGUCUCUAGACAGUUCCUGACGCUGAGGCACGAAAGCCAGGGGAGCAAACGGGAUUAGAAACCCCCGUAGUCC
Molecule: ribosomal RNA, 292 nt
Filed under: uncultured bacterium
Lineage: Bacteria
Description: partial 16S ribosomal RNA
Rfam family: Bacterial small subunit ribosomal RNA
Source: RNAcentral